GGGUCGUAAGAUCAUCGAUGUCUAUCGCCUUCGUGGCUACUCCAGGUUCUUCUCCUUCGCUGAUUACUGCUGGUUUUUCGGUUUUGCUAGCGGCUUUUGGAUCCUCUUGUAGCAGCGGACUCUCUUCCUCGCUGGUGGGAGUCGUUUCCUCGACUUGCUCUUUGUCUUCCUUCUGAGCGUCUGCUAGCUCGUCUUCGACAGUGAUGGGAGCUGCGUCAUCUGGAGCAGUGAUAGCUUUGUCUUUGGCUGGUGUGAAAUCUUCUGGUACUCUUUCAGCUUCUUUCUCUUUCUCUUCCUCUUGAGUUCCUUCGUCUUUGGCAGUGAUGGGAGCUGCUUCGUCUGGAACAAUGAGAUCUUUGUCUUCGCCUGGUGUGGAAACUUCUGGUACUGCUUUCUCUUUGUCUUCCUCCUGAGUUUCUGCGAGCUGAGUUCCAUCGUCUUCGGCAGUAAUGAGAGCUGCUUCGUCUAGAGCAAUGUCGCCUUUGUCUUCGGCUGGUGUUGUUGCUUCUUCCUUGUCGUUCUCGUGGACGAUGCUUGUUGUUUCGAGCUCCUUAGCCUUCUGAUCCUCGCGAUUCUCUGCUGGAUGAGUUCCUUCACCAGCAGCUACCGCCGCUUCUUUCUCUUCGUCCGCAGAUACUAUUGUUUCUUCAACUGUUGCUUCUUCAUCUUUGCCCGCUUCUUGGUCCGGAAAGGUGACAUCUGCGUCGUGAAAUUCUUCCUUGUCCGGACUUAUACCUUCUGCUACUUGAGUUUCGUCGUGCACCUCCUCCUUGUCCGGAAUUGUAUCUCCUGCUACUUGAGUUUCGUUGUGCACCUCUUCCAUGUCCGGAAUAAGAGUUUCCUUGUGCACCUCGUCCUUGUCCAGAAUUAUAUCUUCGGCUACUUGAGUUUCGUCGUGCACCUCUUCCUUGUCCGGAAUUAUAUCUUCGGCUACUUGAGCUUCAUCGUGGAUCUCUUCUCUGUCUGGAAUUAUGUCUUCUGCUGUCUGAGUGCUCGUGGAAAGAGCAUCCGUUUGGAGAACUGUUGUUUCUUUCUCUUUCUCUCCGCUUGGAUCUUGAUCUUCUGCUACUUGAAAUCUUUCCUCGCGUUUGUCAGUUGCUUCCAUCUCCGAGUUUUCUGCGAUCUUAGCCUGAGUUUCUUCACUGCUCACUGUUUCUUGCACCUUUUCUUCGUCGUCGCCAGCAGCUGGAACAUUCCUGUCCACGGCUUCGUCUUUCAAAGGUUCGUGUUCAAUCAGAUUUGUUGACUCCUCGGUGUCUCUAAUAUCUUGCUCGCCUUCUUCAGUCCGACCUUCCACUGGAUUUUGGAUUGCUUCGUCACCACCUUCGACUGCCUUGUCCUCCCUGGCUUCGAUAGCUCCCUCGACAUCUUGGACUGUCGACG
Molecule: long non-coding RNA, 1383 nt
Filed under: Selaginella moellendorffii
Lineage: Eukaryota; Viridiplantae; Streptophyta; Lycopodiopsida; Selaginellales; Selaginellaceae
Description: long non-coding RNA (SMOE_LNC001388)
Source: RNAcentral